This 417-nucleotide unclassified non-coding RNA is filed under the name Hevea brasiliensis (rubber tree). Lineage: Eukaryota; Viridiplantae; Streptophyta; Magnoliopsida; Malpighiales; Euphorbiaceae. The record is from RNAcentral.
GCUUGAAGCUUUGAAGCCAGAAUUCCAACUUUAAGUGGAUGAGCUGAACAAAGCUUAUGAUAGAAUUCAGCUGCGCGAACUUGAUGGGCCAGAAAGGAUUUCAUACGGUUCUGAGCCAUCUUCUUCAGAAUGCCCCUCUUACUCGAACACCAGUGUGAAGCAGCCUUCUGGUGUGGCACGUCAGUUGUCCUGGAAGUACAACAACAAUCAUACUCGAGUUUCAUCUUCAUGCUCGAGUUUCAUCUUCAAACUCCCCAUAAUUUGACAAGCAGUUGCAGAAGCUGUGACUGUUCCAAGAUUACAGUUUUGCAUUUAGAGACAUGAGACCUGUAGAUGAUUCUUCUUGGCGAAUAUUUUAGAAGUUGGGAUCCCUUCUAUUUUCUACAUGCCACAUCGGUUCCUGUCAACUUGUGCCUG